GGGUUGUGAGGUUAAGCGACUAAGCGUACACGGUGGAUGCCCUGGCAGUCAGAGGCGAUGAAGGGCGUGCUAAUCUGCGAUAAGCGCCGGUAAGGUGAUAUGAACCGUUAUAACCGGCGAUACCCGAAUGGGGAAACCCAGUGUGACUCGUCACACUAUCAUUAACUGAAUCCAUAGGUUAAUGAGGCGAACCGGGGGAACUGAAACAUCUAAGUACCCCGAGGAAAAGAAAUCAACCGAGAUUCCCCCAGUAGCGGCGAGCGAACGGGGAGGAGCCCAGAGCCUGAAUCAGCAUGUGUGUUAGUGGAAGCGUCUGGAAAGGCGCGCGAUACAGGGUGACAGCCCCGUACACAAAAGCGCAUGUGCUGUGAGCUCGAUGAGUAGGGCGGGACACGUGGUAUCCUGUCUGAAUAUGGGGGGACCAUCCUCCAAGGCUAAAUACUCCUGACUGACCGAUAGUGAACCAGUACCGUGAGGGAAAGGCGAAAAGAACCCCGGCGAGGGGAGUGAAAAAGAACCUGAAACCGUGUACGUACAAGCAGUGGGAGCACAGGUUUACCUGUGUGACUGCGUACCUUUUGUAUAAUGGGUCAGCGACUUAUAUUCUGUAGCAAGGUUAACCGAAUAGGGGAGCCGGAGGGAAACCGAGUCUUAACCGGGCGUUAAGUUGCAGGGUAUAGACCCGAAACCCGGUGAUCUAGCCAUGGGCAGGUUGAAGGUUGGGUAACACUAACUGGAGGACCGAACCGACUAAUGUUGAAAAAUUAGCGGAUGACCUGUGGCUGGGGGUGAAAGGCCAAUCAAACCGGGAGAUAGCUGGUUCUCCCCGAAAGCUAUUUAGGUAGCGCCUCGUGAAUUCAUCUCCGGGGGUAGAGCACUGUUUCGGCUAGGGGGCCAUCCCGGCUUACCAACCCGAUGCAAACUGCGAAUACCGGAGAAUGUUAUCACGGGAGACACACGGCGGGUGCUAACGUCCGUCGUGAAGAGGGAAACAACCCAGACCGCCAGCUAAGGUCCCAAAGUCAUGGUUAAGUGGGAAACGAUGUGGGAAGGCCCAGACAGCCAGGAUGUUGGCUUAGAAGCAGCCAUCAUUUAAAGAAAGCGUAAUAGCUCACUGGUCGAGUCGGCCUGCGCGGAAGAUGUAACGGGGCUAAACCAUGCACCGAAGCUGCGGCAGCGACGCUGAUGCGUUGUUGGGUAGGGGAGCGUUCUGUAAGCCUGCGAAGGUGGCCUGUGAGGGUUGCUGGAGGUAUCAGAAGUGCGAAUGCUGACAUAAGUAACGAUAAAGCGGGUGAAAAGCCCGCUCGCCGGAAGACCAAGGGUUCCUGUCCAACGUUAAUCGGGGCAGGGUGAGUCGACCCCUAAGGCGAGGCCGAAAGGCGUAGUCGAUGGGAAACGGGUUAAUAUUCCCGUACUUG
This 1418-nucleotide ribosomal RNA is filed under the name Salmonella enterica. RNAcentral describes it as "partial 23S ribosomal RNA". It matches the Rfam family "Bacterial large subunit ribosomal RNA", at positions 1 to 1447 of the family's 2925-position model. Lineage: Bacteria; Pseudomonadati; Pseudomonadota; Gammaproteobacteria; Enterobacterales; Enterobacteriaceae. RNAcentral also lists the same sequence under 1 other name. The record is from RNAcentral.